GAUGAACGCUGGCGGCGUGCCUAAUACAUGCAAGUCGAGCGAACAGACGAGGAGCUUGCUCCUCUGACGUUAGCGGCGGACGGGUGAGUAACACGUGGAUAACCUACCUAUAAGACUGGGAUAACUUCGGGAAACCGGAGCUAAUACCGGAUAAUAUAUUGAACCGCAUGGUUCAAUAGUGAAAGACGGUUUUGCUGUCACUUAUAGAUGGAUCCGCGCCGCAUUAGCUAGUUGGUAAGGUAACGGCUUACCAAGGCAACGAUGCGUAGCCGACCUGAGAGGGGGAUCGGCCACACUGGAACUGAGACACGGUCCAGACUCCUACGGGAGGCAGCAGGAGGGAAUCUUCCGCAAUGGGCGAAAGCCUGACGGAGCAACGCCGCGUGAGUGAUGAAGGUCUUCGGAUCGUAAAACUCUGUUAUUGGGGAAGAACAAAUGUGUAAGUAACGAUGCACGUCUUGACGGUACCUAAUCAGAAAGCCACGGCUAACUACGU
This 496-nucleotide ribosomal RNA is filed under the name uncultured bacterium. RNAcentral describes it as "partial 16S ribosomal RNA". It matches the Rfam family "Bacterial small subunit ribosomal RNA", at positions 28 to 506 of the family's 1533-position model. The record is from RNAcentral.